RNAcentral lists this ribosomal RNA (460 nucleotides) under uncultured bacterium. RNAcentral's name for it is "partial 16S ribosomal RNA". It matches the Rfam family "Bacterial small subunit ribosomal RNA", at positions 338 to 795 of the family's 1533-position model. The record is from RNAcentral.
CCUACGGGAGGCAGCAGUGAGGAAUAUUGGUCAAUGGGCGUAAGUCUGAACCAGCCAUGUCGCGUGCGGGAUGACGGCUCUAUGGAUUGUAAACCUCUUUUAUAAGGGGAUAAAGUGCGGGACGUGUCUCGGGUUGUAUGUAUCUUACGAAUAAGGAUCGGCUAACUCCGUGCCAGCAGCCGCGGUAAUACGGAGGAUCCGAGCGUUAUCCGGAUUUAUUGGGUUUAAAGGGUGCGUAGGCGGGCUGUUAAGUUAGCGGUGAAAUGCCGUGGCUCAACCCCGGAACUGCCGUUGAAACUGUUGGACUUGAGUAUGUUUGAGGCAGGCGGAAUGUGUGGUGUAGCGGUGAAAUGCUUAGAGAUCACACAGAACCCCGAUUGCGAAGGCAGCCUACCAAGCCAUAACUGACGCUGAUGCACGAAAGCGUGGGUAUCAAACAGGAUUAGAUACCCGAGUAGUC